This 1031-nucleotide long non-coding RNA is filed under the name Cucumis sativus (cucumber). RNAcentral describes it as "long non-coding RNA (CSAT_LNC000248)". The record is from RNAcentral. Lineage: Eukaryota; Viridiplantae; Streptophyta; Magnoliopsida; Cucurbitales; Cucurbitaceae.
AACACUUUAAUAUAUAUAUACUAUAGUACGAUUUAUAAUAUUUGUACAUCUUAAUACAAGUUUCAAUAAUCCACAUGUACGGAAUACUAGCCCUUAAUCAAAAAAUAUUUUAAAUAGCAUUAGAAUACAUCUAACAAGAUUUUCUGCAGAAGCAUAAACGACCAACCGAGAAUGUUCAUCUCUGGAAAUGUUCUUUGAAAGAAAACUCAUGAAGUUCUCGACUCCAGUUGAACCUACAAAGACAACAUGAAUAUAAGUAUCCAUAACACAUACGUACAGCCAAUGAGUAACUAAAUCAAUGUCUCAACAAAAUACAGAACACAAACAAGAACUUCAACACUUGAUUCCAUGAAAUGAAAAGAAGCACGUGAGGACUACAUUAGGCAAACGAUCAUUAAAUAAUAGUGUGAAGAAGUGUAAUCCCAAAUGAUCAAAAAGUUGGACAAUCAAUCUAACCUUGUUAUCCUUCUUACAAAGAAAACAUAUGGAUCAUUCACAAGUCCUUAAACCAAAGUAAUACCAUUCUAUAAGUGUACAACUCACUCGUUUUCUCUUUAAUCUUAACUCUUGGUGUCAUGUAAACCACUACUGAAACUUUACCCAUGAUGAUGAUUACCAAAAUCAUAACUUUUAAAUAUAAUAACUAUGCGUAUACACGUAUGCAUGAGGUCUCAUGAUUUUAAUCAGUAGAUGUCCUAAAAACAUAAUCGUAUGACACAAGAGAAUAACAAAUAUCAAAGGCGUUUCAAGUUUAAACCAAUUACAAAUAACAUUUUAUAUACUUCACAUCUGGAAGCUCGAACACAAAAUUCAACAUACUCACUAACAACACAUCACAAACACACAUAACCCUAGACAAAUUACAGCAAACAAAUCCCAACAACCGGCACUUAAGGCAAAUUUGGUAGUUAAGUUACUUUAUUGACUAGUUUGACACAACUUAAGGCAAAGUACAAAGUUUUAAGAUCUCACAUUUCAUUUUUCAUUCUUUUUUUCUCAAAGCUUCAGCCCAUAGCCAUGACAUCUCCUUU